Molecule: ribosomal RNA, 253 nt
Filed under: uncultured bacterium
Lineage: Bacteria
Description: partial 16S ribosomal RNA
Rfam family: Bacterial small subunit ribosomal RNA
Source: RNAcentral
UACGUAGGGUCCGAGCGUUGUCCGGAAUUACUGGGCGUAAAGAGCUCGUAGGUGGUUUGUCGCGUUGUCCGUGAAAACUCACAGCUCAACUGUGGGCGUGCGGGCGAUACGGGCAGACUGGAGUACUGCAGAGGAGACUGGAAUUCCUGGUGUAGCGGUGGAAUGCGCAGAUAUCAGGAGGAACACCGGUGGCGAAGGCGGGUCUCUGGGCAGUAACUGACGCUGAGGAGCGAAAGCGUGGGGAGCAAACAGG